UAGUUCAUUUUACUUCCAAAUACCCAUUUGAGAUCUUUUUCCUUCUCUCACUUCUCAGCUACUUUGUUUUCCCUGUUUCUCUGGCUCUAGCCUUUGCUUCAUCUAGCAUGUUUUCUAAUCCUCAUAUCUUCUUUAUACCCCUCUCCUUGGGUAAAGGGCUUUCCUUUCUGUGGAAUUAUUCAUUAGCCAACAGUAGAAACCUUCUUAAAAGUCAUCAGAGGAUUAAAAAUAAUACUUUUUCCAAAAAUAUAAUUUUUUCAGUUAAUCAAAACUUUCCCCCAUUAUUUGAAUAUUGCUUCUGUUUCUUAUGCUAUUUUCUUUCCAAAAAAUUGUUGAUAUUUAUAAGUUGAUUUCCCAGUUUUUUCAUUUUUCUUUUUGUCUUUUUUUUCCUUUUCUCUGAGAUGGAAAUGUUUCUUAAAUUUAAUCUUAAAUUUCACUUUGAGUUUUGUAGGUCCAAAAUAGCAUUCAUGAUCUUUGCUCAGGUCAUUAAUUUAUUCAUUGAGUAUCUGGGCUAGUCAUUGAUAUGCACAGGCAAUUUCAGGGCUUCCUAAUAUCACUUCAUUGUCUCAGUGUUGUGAGUCAAGGAUUCUUGAACUGAAGCCUUGAGUUGUGAGUUGUGGAAUGUCUGGGGCAAGGAGAUAUUUUCAGAAUUCCUUUGUUUUUGUCUUGAACAUGCUGCCUCCUUUAAAUGGAUAGUCAAGUGUGUCAUCUCUCAAUGCCUUUUGUAGACUGUUGGCAUGUAUCUAGUAGGAAUUCUUCCAACUUUCAGGCAAGUGAAUAGCUUUCACCUUUGUUUUUUCAAAGUUGAUUCACAAUUUAUAUAUCCCACUAUUCGUUUCAGUGGAAUUCUGAAUAAGAAAAGGUAAUUCUUAAAUAACAAUGCCUUUAAUCUUUGAAUAUUGAAAUUUUUUGGAUCAUUUAUUAUGAGGUACAAAAGAUGUGCAUCACCAGUUAUGGCAAAAUAAAGGUAAACAACAUUUUCCAAAUUAAUAAUAUGGAUUUUUAAAACUAACUUAAGAAGUAACUGAAUAUGUUGACUAAUUAUUUUCAGAACAGAGCAGGAAAACUUUAACAAUAUUAAAAUUAAAGUAGUUGAUUUUUGUCCCAUAUUUUUUCAUAUGUAAAUGGGCAAUCCAAAACAGCCACACCCAGAUGGUCUUUCAUUGAGCUACUUGAGAAUGCUUUUCUUCCUAACUUAUCUUUGUAGGCCCAUCAGCCUAGAGUUAAAUUUAAGAGUAGGCCAUGAAGAAGGUUUUUAAUUAUCUUUUUAUAGGUAAUAGAGAUUCUUUGAUAACAAGUGUAAUAAAAACUAGCAAAUGCUUCUAUUUACAAAUAAUGGAAAAUAUAAUUUAAAUAGCUUAUUAAGUAGGGAAAUUUACUGGUUCAUGAAAUUGAAAAGUCUAGUUUGAUUUGAUGGAAUGUUUUUAUCCAGGGGCCCAUGAUGUUAUCAGGUCUACAGAUCCAUUUCUCUGUGAUUCUUUUGACUCUCUUCUCCUGCUUAUGUCAAUUUCACCCUCAGGGGUUUCUAUAUGAUAGUAAACAUGGACAUCAUGGUUUCCAGUCUCACAUACACCACAGCUUUGAAAAGGAUUUGAAAAGACCACAUUAGUUCCAGUAAUGCAAGCAAAGUCCUGAGAUUCACUCCAUUUGGACUGCUUGGGUCAUAUGCCCACUCCUGAACAAUUAUUAUGGCCAGGGAAAUGGAUAGUACUAAUUGGCCAGCCUGAGUCAUAUGGGUUGGAAGUGGCAAAAUAAGCAUUCUUUUAACUACAUUCUUAUAACUACAUCCCUAAGUUGGAUAUCCAGAACUGUUGGGAAAGGCAUAUUGGACAUCCAUUACCCAUUUCAACAAACUUGAAGGUUUUAAUCAGGUGCUUAAGAUAGCUGCCUAGGGAGUUUCAAAAUUUUUUUCUAGGGAAAAUUGUUAGUGCUUAUUGUAAUCAUUUCUAAAGUUAGUGUAUACUCAAGGUGAAGUAUUCCUAACCAUCGGUUUUGCCCAUUAAUUUCCAUAGUGAGAACCCUGUCCCUCAUACUUAUUCCCUAAGAUAUUUAAAGCUCCAUUUAGUUCACAAAAAAGAAUAUUGACACUUAAAUCACUAAUGAGGGAAUUCAGCCAUGAAUUUCCAAAACUAAUUUAUGAAUCUUAUACUUGAAAAACUGCUUAGUGAACAAAUUAAUAUUUUCUCUAGUUUGUCAACCUUCUCCAUCUAAAUUAAAGUUAGACUAUCAGAAAGCAAUACAGCUGAAUGGUAUUAUCCCAACACUCUGGAGAAAUAAUUUCAUGGAGUGAAGAUUUAGUAUCAUAUAUGUUCUCAAUUUUAUAGAUGGCUACUUGGUUGACAGAAGUUUAUAUUAAUUUAUUCAGUGUAUUUUAUUUAUAUAUAUCUGCCAUAAAUUCUUUCUUAACAUUAUUGCUAAUGAAAAAUUUUAUCCCUGAAAAAGUAGCUGAUAUGAUUCCUUCUAUCAAACAAUAGGAAAAUUUGAAAGCAAUUAAUAUUUCUAAUACGGCCAUUAUACAUUUCAGAUCGUUUUUUUCCUUUUAUUUUGGCUGCCAGGAAAUCCAGAGUAAAUAUAGUGUUCCCUGGAGUUCCCAUUGUGGCUCAGCAGAAAUGAAUCUGACUAGGAACCAUGAAGUUGCAAGUUCGAUCCUUGGCCUCUCUCAGUGGGUUAAGGAUUUGGCAUUGCCGUGAGCUGUGGUGUAGGCCAGCAGCUACAGCUCUGAUGCCGCCCCUAGCCUGGGAACCUCCAUAUGCCGUGGGUGUGGCCCUAAAAAGCAAAAACCAAACAAACAAACAUGUUCCCAAUUUCUCUACUUCCUCUCAGGUUGGUAAAGUAACAUCUAUCACCCUCCUUUUAGCAACUUGUCUAGUUUCUAGUCGCAUAUUUAUGACUUUUCUCAAGUAAUUUUUGAAAAUAAGCAGAAGUCUUGCAUGCAUAUAUAAAUGACAUACACUGUGUUGCUUUUUUAGUUGAAGUUGUUUAGUACUUUAAACUACUUCAGGAGCUUAUUGAUAGAUUCUGAAGUUCUCAGUAGGUUUUCCUUCCAUGCUGUUCUUUCGAAUUCUGUAGUCAGCACAGUCUAGAUUUGGUAAUUGUAGUUAUCAAAUGAAUUAGGUUGCAGCCUCACAAAGCACAGCAGCUACUCGAGUUAUAGCUUCAGAGUGGGGACAGAUCAUGCUGAUGCUAAAAAUCACCACCACUUGUUCACUAAGGCAUUGAGAUCUGGAUUUGUCUUUGUUCCUUGCUUAAUGUCCAGUAUUGAGAAAAGGUGAAUGAGCCAAGAUGUUUCCAUGUUCUUAAACUGCAUGUGACUUUAAAAUUUUUUUCCUGGUAACUUGUCUUUUGCUGGCAAAGAAACUAACACGUAAAACACUAGUUAAUUUCUCCACAUGAUUUAAUUUAAUAGAUGUUGAGAUGUGAGGCUUAAAAAAAGUGGACUCUGGUGUCUGGAGACCAGCUGCAGAAUGCAUGAGUCUUCAGAAUGAACCUGAAAACUUCUCCACUGCAUAGUCUGAUGUCCUCAUUCAUGACAGUCAGUGACAAUUUAUAUCAUGUUGCAUUAGUGUAAAUGAACAAAACAAAUAAGCAUGUAAUAAUAAUAAUAGCACAAUGAAUACCAGCCAGCGACGUCUAGCUACUACCUUUUCCUUUAUUUAAAAAAUGGAAAUUACACAUAAAUUAUUUUAUACAUAAUUUGGAAUUGUACAUAAAUUUGUCUUCUGAAUUUAAAAGGUGACAUAUUAUAGGCAAAGCAAAAAUCUUUGUUUUGAAUCACUUGUAUUAGUUUCCUCUCUUUUAUAACAAAUUACCACAUACAUGAUUCAGUUUUAGGACACUUUGUUGUGUUCCAUUGAUCUAUUUUUUCCUAUACCAAGUCAAUAUAUAUUUAUAUUUUUAUAUGUAUGGAAUAAUAGCCACUAUUUGAAGAAGUAAGGACUCAAAUAUGGGCAUAUAUGACCCAAGGUAAAGUCAACUUGUUACAUAUUGAUUGAUUGAUCGAUUGAUUUUUUGAUUGAUUUUUUUAUAUUGGAAUAUAGUUGAUUUACAAUGUUGUGUUAGUUUCAGGUAUAUAGCAAAGUGAUUCAGUUAUAUAUAUAUAUCCAUUCUUUUUUCAGACUCUCUUCUCAUAUAGGUUAUUACAGAAUAUUGAGUAGAGUUGCCUGUACUAUACAGUAGGUCCUUGUUGAUUUUAUAUGUAGCAGUGUGAAUAUUUUCAUCUCAACCUCCUAAUUUAUCCCUCUCCCUCACCUUUCCGCUUUGGUAACCUUAAGUUUGUUUUUGAGGUCUGUUUUUGAAGUCUGUUUUAUGUUGUAUAUUAGUUCAUUUGUGUCUUUUUUUUUUAGAUUCCACGUGUAAGUGAUCUCACAUGAUAUUUGUCUUUGUCUAACUUACUUCACUUAGUAUGAUAACUCUAGGUCCAUCCAUGUUGCUGUAAAUGGCAUUAUUUCAUUCUUUUAUAUGGCCAAGUAACAUUCCACUGUAUACAUAUACUGUAUCUUCUUUACCUAUGUAUCUGUUGAUGGACAUUUAGGUUGCUUUCAUGUCUUGGCUAUUGUAAAUAGUGCUCUAGUGAACACUGUGCUGCAUGUAUCUUUUCAAAUUAUGGUUUUCUCUGGAUGUAUGCCAGGAGUGGGAUUCCUGGAUCAUAUGGCAGUUCUAUCUUUAGGUGGUUUUUUUUUGCAUUUUAGGGCUGUACUUACAGCAUAUGCGUAUGGAAAUUCCUAGGCUAGGGGUCGAAUCAGAGCUACAGCUGCCAGCUUACGCCACAGCCACAGUAAUGCCAGAUCCUUCACCCACUGAACAGGGCCAGGGUUCGAACCCAUAUCGUCAUGGAUACUAGUCAGGUUUGGUUCUGCUGUGCCACAAUGGGAACUCCUAUUUUUAGUUUUUUAAGGAACCUCCCUACUGUUUUCCAUUGUGGAUACAUUCUUACCAACAGUGUAGGAGGGUUCCUUUUUCUCCACAUCCUCUAUAGUUUAUUAUUUGUAGACUUUUUGAUCAUGGUCAUUCUGACUGAUGUGAGGCAAUACCUCGUUAUAGUUUUGAUUUGCAUUUAUCUAAUAAUUAGCAAUGUUGUGCAUUUUGGCCAUCUGUGUAGGACCGUAUUGUAUUAAUUAUUUUAAUUUUAGAACUUGUCUUGAUUUCCAGCUGGUAUAGAUAGAUAUCUUUUAUUUAUAUUAAAAAUGAUGAUAGCUUUUUUUUUUUGUUCACUGUGCAUUUAAGAAAAGUUUGUCAAAAACUUGAUGAAAAUGCUUGUGUUACUUUGAUUAGAUAGUAUUGGAUUAAUAAAUUAAUCCUGGGAGUACUGAUAACCUUCUAAUAAGCAACCUUCUUGCCUAUAAAUAUAUGUCUAUUUAGCAAACUCUUUUGUAUAUUUCAGAAAAGUUCCUUUGUUUUUAACAUAAAUGUCUUGUAUUUCCUGUUAGAUUUAUUCUUAAGCACUUUGUGGUUUCUAUUGCUAUUGUGAGUAAACUUGUCCUUUGGUUCUCUAGUACUUCCUAGAUUGACUAUUACAUUGUCUGCAAAAAUUGACAGUUUUGUCUUUACUUUCCAACCUUUAUAGCUCUUAUACCUCUUCAUUUAUUAUUUAUUCAUUCUUACUCCAGAUCUUAUUGCAUUAGCUGGAGCUUACAUUACAAAGUUAAAAAGUAGAAUGGCUGCCAUUCUGGUCUUAGUCCCAGCCUUAAAUGGGAUGCCUUUAAAAUUUCAGUAUUUCUCCUUCUGCCCAAUUCCAUUUGUCUCUUUUCAGCUCACAACAGACAAAAAUAACAGAACAAAAAUUUGAGUCUUUACAAAAUAAAAAUUAAAACCAAAAAAAUAAAUAGAUAAAAUUUAAGUAAACCUGAUCAAAAAAAUUUAUAAAGGACACAAGUAAACAACAUCAGAAUUAAAAGGGGGCAAAACUACAGAGACAUAGAGUCAACUUCAUGCUAAUACAUUUUACAAACUAGAUGAAAUGUAGUUUUCUCUAUGUGCUCUCCUUCCUUG
This 5988-nucleotide long non-coding RNA is filed under the name Sus scrofa (pig). RNAcentral describes it as "lncRNA (ENSSSCG00000057359.1)". Lineage: Eukaryota; Metazoa; Chordata; Mammalia; Artiodactyla; Suidae. The record is from RNAcentral.